CAGGAGGCGGGGCGCCUGUGGGAGUCGUGGAGGGAACUUUCCCAGGCCCCGAGGCGGAUCGGGUAUUGAGUCCAUGGAGCGAGCUGAGAGCUAGAGUACAGAACCUGCUAAGGCCAUCAAACCUAUCGAUCGGAAGUCAGUCCAUCAGAUUUGCUCUGGGCCGGUGGUACUGAGUCUAAGCACUGCGGUGAAGGAGUUAGUAGAAAACAGUCUGGAUGCUGGUGCCACCAAUAUUGCGAUGUCACCAUUUCUACCUGCCACGCAUCGGCGAAGGUUGGGACUCGACUGGUGUUUGAUCACGAUGGGAAAAUCAUCCAGAAAACCCCCUACCCCCACCCCAGAGGGACCACAGUCAGCGUGAAGCAGUUAUUUUCUACACUACCUGUGCACCAUAAGGAAUUUCAAAGGAAUAUUAAGAAGACGUGCCUGUUUCCCCUUCGCCUUCUGCCGUGAUUGUCAGUUUCCUGAGGCCUCCCCAGCCAUGCUUCCUGUACAGCCUGCAGAACUGUGAUCUCAGCCCUCCUCCAGGCUUCGAUUAUAACUUACAGGAUUGUGAUUCACACAUUUCAGUUUCCACCACAGGCCCCUCCAGACAUGUCCAUCUGCCUGCUGUGUUGACUUUUCCCUUUGGAGUCUUGAGGCAGCUACAAGCUUACUGACCAGAAAUGAACUCAAGCUCUCCCCGAAGCCUGGUCCUCUUCCAGGAUCAGCCAGCCUGGAAGAUGGCACUGUCAUCCACCCUGUUCUCAGGCCUGCCACCCAGGAGUCAACCUUAGCCCCAUCUAAUUGUCAGAGGCAUCUGAACCACAGCAACUCCAUCUUGAGUAGGGGAUGGGUAAAAUGAGGCUGAGACCUGCUGGGCUGCAUUCCCAGACAGCCAAGGCAUUAGCCACAGGAUAAGAUAGGCGGUCGGUACAAGACACAGGUCAUAAAGACCUUGCUGAUAAAACAGUUGGCAGUAAAGAAGCCAGCCAAAACCCACUAAAACCAAGAUGGCAACGAGAGUGACCUCUGGUCGUCCUCACUGCUACCCUCCCACCAGCACCAUGACAGUUUACAAAUGCCAUGGCAAUGUCAGAAAGUUACCCUAUAGGGUCUAAAAAGGGGAGGCAUGAAUAAUCUACCCCUUGUUUAGCAUAUCAUCAAGAAAUAACCAUAAAAAUAGGCAACCAGCAGCCCUCAGGGAUGCUCUGUCUAUGGAGUAGCCAUUCUUUUGUUCCUUUACUCUCUUAAUAAACUUGUUUUCACUUUAC
Molecule: long non-coding RNA, 1253 nt
Organism: Homo sapiens (human)
Lineage: Eukaryota; Metazoa; Chordata; Mammalia; Primates; Hominidae
Gene: PMS2P4
Product: PMS1 homolog 2, mismatch repair system component pseudogene 4
Source: Ensembl